AGGAACUUGAGAUAUUGGUGCGGUUCAAUCAGAAGGCAGUGUUUUAUUAUUCAAAAGCUCUGUGUUAUUUGAUUGAGCCGUGCCAAUAUCACAACGUAAUUC
Non-coding RNA from Vigna radiata var. radiata (mung bean), 102 nucleotides. The record is from Rfam. NCBI's taxonomy places the organism in Eukaryota, Viridiplantae, Streptophyta, Magnoliopsida, Fabales, Fabaceae.